GCGGGGGCGGGGUGCUAUACAUGCAAGUCGAGCGGACAGAAGGGAGCUUGCUCCCGGAUGUUAGCGGCGGACGGGUGAGUAACACGUGGGUAACCUGCCUGUAAGACUGGGAUAACUCCGGGAAACCGGAGCUAAUACCGGAUAGUUCCUUGAACCGCAUGGUUCAAGGAUGAAAGACGGUUUCGGCUGUCACUUACAGAUGGACCCGCGGCGCAUUAGCUAGUUGGUGAGGUAACGGCUCACCAAGGCGACGAUGCGUAGCCGACCUGAGAGGGUGAUCGGCCACACUGGGACUGAGACACGGCCCAGACUCCUACGGGAGGCAGCAGUAGGGAAUCUUCCGCAAUGGACGAAAGUCUGACGGAGCAACGCCGCGUGAGUGAUGAAGGUUUUCGGAUCGUAAAGCUCUGUUGUUAGGGAAGAACAAGUGCAAGAGUAACUGCUUGCACCUUGACGGUACCUAACCAGAAAGCCACGGCUAACUACGUGCCAGCAGCCGCGGUAAUACGUAGGUGGCAAGCGUUGUCCGGAAUUAUUGGGCGUAAAGGGCUCGCAGGCGGUUUCUUAAGUCUGAUGUGAAAGCCCCCGGCUCAACCGGGGAGGGUCAUUGGAAACUGGGAAACUUGAGUGCAGAAGAGGAGAGUGGAAUUCCACGUGUAGCGGUGAAAUGCGUAGAGAUGUGGAGGAACACCAGUGGCGAAGGCGACUCUCUGGUCUGUAACUGACGCUGAGGAGCGAAAGCGUGGGGAGCGAACAGGAUUAGAUACCCUGGUAGUCCACGCCGUAAACGAUGAGUGCUAAGUGUUAGGGGGUUUCCGCCCCUUAGUGCUGCAGCUAACGCAUUAAGCACUCCGCCUGGGGAGUACGGUCGCAAGACUGAAACUCAAAGGAAUUGACGGGGGCCCGCACAAGCGGUGGAGCAUGUGGUUUAAUUCGAAGCAACGCGAAGAACCUUACCAGGUCUUGACAUCCUCUGACAACCCUAGAGAUAGGGCUUUCCCUUCGGGGACAGAGUGACAGUGGUGGCAUGGUUGUCGUCAGCUCGUGUCGUGAAAUGUGUUGGGUAGUCCCGCACGAGCGCACCCUUGAUCUAGUGCCAGCAUUCAGUGGGCACUCUAA
This 1119-nucleotide ribosomal RNA is filed under the name Bacillus pumilus. RNAcentral describes it as "bacterial SSU rRNA". It matches the Rfam family "Bacterial small subunit ribosomal RNA", at positions 33 to 1143 of the family's 1533-position model. The record is from RNAcentral. Lineage: Bacteria; Bacillati; Bacillota; Bacilli; Caryophanales; Bacillaceae.